AUUGAACGCUGGCGGAAUGCUUUACACAUGCAAGUCGAACGGCAGCACGGACUUCGGUCUGGUGGCGAGUGGCGAACGGGUGAGUAAUGUAUCGGAACGUGCCCAGUCGUGGGGGAUAACGUAGUGAAAAUUACGCUAAUACCGCAUACGAGCGAUGGAUGAAAGCGGGGGAUCGCAAGACCUCGCGCGAUUGGAGCGGCCGAUAUCAGAUUAGGUAGUUGGUGGGGUAAAGGCCCACCAAGCCAACGAACUGUAGCUGGUCUGAGAGGACGACCAGCCACACUGGAACUGAGACACGGUCCAGACUCCUACGGGAGGCAGCAGUGGGGAAUUUUGGACAAUGGGCGAAAGCCUGAUCCAGCCAUUCCGCGUGCAGGAUGAAGGCCCUCGGGUUGUAAACUGCUUUUGUACAGAACGAAAAGGUUUCUACUAAUACUAGGAGCUCAUGACGGUACUAUAAGAAUAAGCACCGGCUAACUACGUGCCAGCCGCCGCGGUAA
RNAcentral lists this ribosomal RNA (500 nucleotides) under uncultured bacterium. Its description in RNAcentral is "partial 16S ribosomal RNA". It matches the Rfam family "Bacterial small subunit ribosomal RNA", at positions 30 to 523 of the family's 1533-position model. The record is from RNAcentral.